This 29-nucleotide non-coding RNA is filed under the name Mus musculus (house mouse). The record is from RNAcentral. Lineage: Eukaryota; Metazoa; Chordata; Mammalia; Rodentia; Muridae.
UCCAUGUGCACUCUUUGGUUGGUGGUUUA